GAAACUCCGUCGUGCUGCGGAUUGGGGUUUGCAAUUAUCCCCCAUAAACGAGGAAUUCCUAGUAAGCGCGAGUCAUAAGCUCGCGUUGAUUCAUUCCCUGCCCUUUGUAC
Molecule: ribosomal RNA, 110 nt
Filed under: Pseudomonas aeruginosa
Lineage: Bacteria; Pseudomonadati; Pseudomonadota; Gammaproteobacteria; Pseudomonadales; Pseudomonadaceae
Description: partial 16S ribosomal RNA
Rfam family: Eukaryotic small subunit ribosomal RNA
Source: RNAcentral